Molecule: ribosomal RNA, 370 nt
Rfam family: 5.8S ribosomal RNA (bases 1-124)
GCAUCGAUGAAGAACGUAGCAAAGUGCGAUAACUAGUGUGAAUUGCAUAUUCAGUGAAUCAUCGAGUCUUUGAACGCAACUUGCGCUCAUUGGUAUUCCAAUGAGCACGCCUGUUUCAGUAUCAAAACAAACCCUCUAUCCAGCAUUUUGUUGAAUAGGAAUACUGAGAGUCUCCUGAUCUAUUCUGAUCUCGAACCUCUUGAAAUGUACAAAGGCCUGAUCUUGUUUAAAUGCCUGAACUUUUUUUUAAUAUAAAGAGAAGCUCUUGCGGUAAACUGUGCUGGGGCCUCCCAAAUAAUACUCUUUUUAAAUUUGAUCUGAAAUCAGGCGGGAUUACCCGCUGAACUUAAGCAUAUCAAUAAGCGGAGGA